This 465-nucleotide ribosomal RNA is filed under the name uncultured bacterium. RNAcentral's name for it is "partial 16S ribosomal RNA". It matches the Rfam family "Bacterial small subunit ribosomal RNA", at positions 338 to 795 of the family's 1533-position model. The record is from RNAcentral.
CCUACGGGAGUCAGCAGUAGGGAAUCUUCCACAAUGGGCGAAAGCCUGAUGGAGCAACGCCGCGUGGGUGAAGAAGGUCUUCGGAUCGUAACACCCUGUUGUUAGAGAAGAAAGUGCGUGAGAGUAACUGUUCACGUUUCGACGGUAUCUAACCAGAAAGCCACGGCUCACUACGUGCCAGCAGCCGCGGUAAUACGUAGGUGGCAAGCGUUAUCCGGAGUUAUUGGGCGUAAAGGGAACGCAGGCUGUCUUAUAAGUCUGAUGUGAAAGCCUUCGGCUUAACCGGAGUAGUGCAUUGGAGACUGGGAGUCUUGAGUGCAGAAGAGGAGAGUGGAACUCCAUGUGUAGCGGUGAGAUGCGUAGAUAUAUGGAAGAACACCAGUGGCGAAAGCGGCUCUCUGGUCUGUAACUGACGCUGAGGUUCGAAAGCGUGGGUAGCAAACAGGAUUAGAUACCCCUGUAGUC